AGAGUUUGAUCAUGGCUCAGAUUGAACGCUGGCGGCAGGCCUAACACAUGCAAGUCGAGCGGUAGAGGGGAGCUUGCUUCCCUUGAGAGCGGCGGACGGGUGAGUAAUACUUAGGAACAUGCCUUUGGGUGGGGGAUAACUAUUGGAAACGAUAGCUAAUACCGCAUAACGUCUACGGAGGAAAGGAGGGGAUCUUCGGACCUUUCGCUAUCAGAUGAGCCUGCGUGAGAUUAGCUAGUUGGUGGGGUAAAGGCUCACCAAGGCGACGAUCUCUAGCUGGUCUGAGAGGAUGAUCAGCCACACUGGGACUGAGACACGGCCCAGACUCCUACGGGAGGCAGCAGUGGGGAAUAUUGGACAAUGGGCGCAAGCCUGAUCCAGCCAUGCCGCGUGUGUGAAGAAGGCCUUCGGGUUGUAAAGCACUUUCAGCGAGGAGGAAAGGUUGCCGCUUAAUACGCGGUAGCUGUGACGUUACUCGCAGAAGAAGGACCGGCUAACUCCGUGCCAGCAGCCGCGGUAAUACGGAGGGUCCAAGCGUUAAUCGGAAUUACUGGGCGUAAAGCGCGCGUAGGCGGCCUGAUAAGUUGGAUGUGAAAGCCCCGGGCUUAACCUGGGAACUGCAUUCAAAACUGCCUAGCUAGAGUACGAUAGAGGGGGGUAGAAUUUCAGGUGUAGCGGUGAAAUGCGUAGAGAUCUGAAGGAAUAUCAGUGGCGAAGGCGGCCCCCUUGGAUUGAUACUGACACUGAGGUGCGAAAGCGUGGGUAGCAAACAGGAUUAGAUACCCUGGUAGUCCAUGCCGUAAACGAUGUCAACUAGCCGUUGGAAGACUUGAUCUUUUAGUGGCGCAGCUAACGCAAUAAGUUGACCGCCUGGGGAGUACGGCCGCAAGGUUAAAACUCAAAUGAAUUGACGGGGGCCCGCACAAGCGGUGGAGCAUGUGUGUUAAUUCGACGCAACGCGAAGAACCUUACCUACUCUUGACAUCCUCAGAACUUAGCAGAGAUGCUUUGGUGCCUUCGGGAACUGAGUGACAGGUGCUGCAUGGCUGUCGUCAGCUCGUGUUGUGAAAUGUUGGGUUAAGUCCCGUAACGAGCGCAACCCUUGUCCUUAUUUGCCAGCACGUAAUGGUGGGAACUUUAAGGAGACUGCCGGUGACAAACCGGAGGAAGGUGGGGACGACGUCAAGUCAUCAUGGCCCUUACGAGUAGGGCUACACACGUGCUACAAUGGCAAGUACAGAGGGCUGCAAACCAGCGAUGGUAAGCGAAUCCCACAAAGCUUGUCGUAGUCCGGAUCGGAGUCUGCAACUCGACUCCGUGAAGUCGGAAUCGCUAGUAAUCGUGAAUCAGAACGUCACGGUGAAUACGUUCCCGGGCCUUGUACACACCGCCCGUCACACCAUGGGAGUUGAUUGCUCCAGAAGUGGUUAGCCUAACCUUAGGGAGGGCGAUCACCACGGAGUGAUUCAUGACUGGGGUGAAGUCGUAACAAGGUAACCGUA
RNAcentral lists this ribosomal RNA (1502 nucleotides) under uncultured prokaryote. RNAcentral describes it as "partial 16S ribosomal RNA". It matches the Rfam family "Bacterial small subunit ribosomal RNA". The record is from RNAcentral.